Pelobates cultripes (western spadefoot toad) is the source of this 527-nucleotide non-coding RNA. NCBI's taxonomy places the organism in Eukaryota, Metazoa, Chordata, Amphibia, Anura, Pelobatidae. The record is from the annotation of a GenBank genome assembly.
GUUAUAUUACAACCACGUCCUAAUCCUUGUUUAACGGUCUCAAUAUGCAGCUAGACUCAAGGGGGCUAAAUAAACCCCAAUAGUGGCUGUAAGGUCCAGAUGAACAGUAUUGGUAAAGGGAAAGUUCACUUAGUGAUCUAAGUAAUUGUCAUAAAGAGUGCAAGAGACAAUAGGGCAAAUAGGCUAUAGCCUGAAUAAAGGCAUUAUGAUAAAAAAAAUUACCGUAUGUAGUAAAUGAGCUUCAAAAUAAAGGAGUUUAAAAAGUCACUUAUAUCUAAUAAAGCAGUGUUAAUGCUGAAAGUAUUAUUUUCCCCUUUAGAACAGCAGAUAGCAAAAGCCUCAGAUAUCAGAGGUACAAGGGAGGUGGAGGGACAAAUAUCUAUGCAGAACAGCCAAUUGUCAGCAAGUGUUGGAAUGCCUUAACUGCUAGUCCCCAAGUCUCCUUAAAUAAAUAAAUAAAACCCCUUCGUGGUGGAAAAUACUUUCAGCAUUAACGCUGCUUUAUUAGACAGGAGUGAUUUUUGAAC